RNAcentral lists this ribosomal RNA (253 nucleotides) under uncultured bacterium. RNAcentral's name for it is "partial 16S ribosomal RNA". It matches the Rfam family "Bacterial small subunit ribosomal RNA", at positions 524 to 776 of the family's 1533-position model. The record is from RNAcentral.
UACGUAGGUGGCAAGCGUUGUCCGGAUUUAUUGGGUUUAAAGGGUGCGUAGGCGGCCUAUUAAGUCAGUGGUGAAAUAUCUCAGCUCAACUGGGAAGGUGCCAAUGAUACUGAUGGGCUUGAGUACAGAUGAGGUAGGCGGAAUUGACGGUGUAGCGGUGAAAUGCUUAGAUAUCGUCAAGAACACCUAUAGCGAAGGCAGCUUACUAGGCUGUAACUGACGCUGAGGCACGAAAGUGUGGGGAUCAAACAGG